UUUUGCUGGCUUCACCAGAUUGUCAGCUCCCCUUAAAUGCAUUAGCCGGUGCCCUGCGUGGACUGUCUAUUGGUGUGAUAAUUAUCUACGCCGUGGACAUCUACAAUCAUAUGGGUUUGCACUGCUUCUAACCGUCUGUUUAUUCAGACAAUACAUGACAAUUUGACCUCAAAUCAGGUAGGACUACCCGCUGAACUUAA
RNAcentral lists this unclassified non-coding RNA (200 nucleotides) under soil metagenome. RNAcentral describes it as "partial contains internal transcribed spacer 2 and large subunit ribosomal RNA". The record is from RNAcentral.